This 800-nucleotide ribosomal RNA is filed under the name Acinetobacter calcoaceticus. Its description in RNAcentral is "bacterial SSU rRNA". It matches the Rfam family "Bacterial small subunit ribosomal RNA", at positions 61 to 856 of the family's 1533-position model. Lineage: Bacteria; Pseudomonadati; Pseudomonadota; Gammaproteobacteria; Moraxellales; Moraxellaceae. The record is from RNAcentral.
GUCGAGCGGGGAAGGUAGCUUGCUACUGGACCUAGCGGCGGACGGGUGAGUAAUGCUUAGGAAUCUGCCUAUUGGUGGGGGACAACAUCUCGAAAGGGAUGCUAAUACCGCAUACGUCCUACGGGAGAAAGCAGGGGAUCUUCGGACCUUGCGCUAAUAGAUGAGCCUAAGUCGGAUUAGCUAGUUGGUGGGGUAAAGGCCUACCAAGGCGACGAUCUGUAGCGGGUCUGAGAGGAUGAUCCGCCACACUGGGACUGAGACACGGCCCAGACUCCUACGGGAGGCAGCAGUGGGGAAUAUUGGACAAUGGGCGCAAGCCUGAUCCAGCCAUGCCGCGUGUGUGAAGAAGGCCUUAUGGUUGUAAAGCACUUUAAGCGAGGAGGAGGCUACUUUAGAUAAUACCUAGAGAUAGUGGACGUUACUCGCAGAAUAAGCACCGGCUAACUCUGUGCCAGCAGCCGCGGUAAUACAGAGGGUGCAAGCGUUAAUCGGAUUUACUGGGCGUAAAGCGCGCGUAGGCGGCUAAUUAAGUCAAAUGUGAAAUCCCCGAGCUUAACUUGGGAAUUGCAUUCGAUACUGGUUAGCUAGAGUGUGGGAGAGGAUGGUAGAAUUCCAGGUGUAGCGGUGAAAUGCGUAGAGAUCUGGAGGAAUACCGAUGGCGAAGGCAGCCAUCUGGCCUAACACUGACGCUGAGGUGCGAAAGCAUGGGGAGCAAACAGGAUUAGAUACCCUGGUAGUCCAUGCCGUAAACGAUGUCUACUAGCCGUUGGGGCCUUUGAGGCUUUAGUGGCGCAGCUAAC